UAAUGGGUGAUGGCGUGCCUUUUGUAGAAUGAACCGGCGAGUUACGAUUUGAUGCAAGGUUAAGCAGUAAAUGUGGAGCCGUAGCGAAAGCGAGUCUGAAUAGGGCGUUUAGUAUUUGGUCGUAGACCCGAAACCAGGUGAUCUACCCUUGGUCAGGUUGAAGUUCAGGUAACACUGAAUGGAGGACCGAACCGACUUACGUUGAAAAGUGAGCGGAUGAACUGAGGGUAGCGGAGAAAUUCCAAUCGAACCUGGAGAUAGCUGGUUCUCUCCGAAAUAGCUUUAGGGCUAGCCUCAAGUGAUGAUUAUUGGAGGUAGAGCACUGUUUGGACGAGGGGCCCCUCUCGGGUUACCGAAUUCAGACAAACUCCGAAUGCCAAUUAAUUUAACUUGGGAGUCAGAACAUGGGUGAUAAGGUCCGUGUUCGAAAGGGAAACAGCCCAGACCACCAGCUAAGGUCCCAAAAUAUAUGUUAAGUGGAAAAGGAUGUGGCGUUGCCCAGACAACUAGGAUGUUGGCUUAGAAGCAGCCAUCAUUUAAAGAGUGCGUAAUAGCUCACUAGUCGAGUGACACUGCGCCGAAAAUGUACCGGGGCUAAACAUAUUACCGAAGCUGUGGAUUGUCCUUUGGACAAUGGUAGGAGAGCGUUCUAAGGGCGUUGAAGCAUGAUCGUAAGGACAUGUGGAGCGCUUAGAAGUGAGAAUGCCGGUGUGAGUAGCGAAAGACGGGUGA
This 732-nucleotide ribosomal RNA is filed under the name Staphylococcus aureus. RNAcentral's name for it is "partial 23S ribosomal RNA". It matches the Rfam family "Bacterial large subunit ribosomal RNA", at positions 587 to 1324 of the family's 2925-position model. Lineage: Bacteria; Bacillati; Bacillota; Bacilli; Caryophanales; Staphylococcaceae. The record is from RNAcentral.